AUGACCUUCCAAGUUUUAAAAGAAGAGGAUGAUAUUAUUUGCGUAUAUUUAAUCGAACAAUUCUUUCUCGAGGUGUGUUUGAACAUACACUCGAGGUUUUAAUGGAGAAAGCGGUUCCUGCGCAGAAAAUUGAUCUUGUUACAUUCUCACGAAUGAUUCAAGGACGCUCAAUUAGAAAAUUCUGAUUCUU
Molecule: small nucleolar RNA, 190 nt
Filed under: Naumovozyma dairenensis CBS 421
Lineage: Eukaryota; Fungi; Ascomycota; Saccharomycetes; Saccharomycetales; Saccharomycetaceae
Description: Small nucleolar RNA snR45
Rfam family: Small nucleolar RNA snR45
Source: Rfam by way of RNAcentral